RNAcentral lists this ribosomal RNA (257 nucleotides) under uncultured bacterium. Its description in RNAcentral is "partial 16S ribosomal RNA". It matches the Rfam family "Bacterial small subunit ribosomal RNA", at positions 526 to 779 of the family's 1533-position model. The record is from RNAcentral.
CGUAGGUGGCAAGCGUUGUCCGGAAUCAUUGGGCGUAAAGCGCGCGCUAGGCGGUCCUUUAAGUCUGAUGUGAAAUCUUGCGGCUCAACCGUAAGCGGUCAUUGGAAACUGGGGGACUUGAGUGCAGGAGAGGAAAGCGGAAUUCCAUGUGUAGCGGUGAAAUGCGUAGAGAUAUGGAGGAACACCAGUGGCGAAGGCGGCUUUCGUGGCCUGUAACUGACGCUGAGGCGACGAAAGCGUGGGGAGCAGACAGGAUU